Molecule: ribosomal RNA, 432 nt
Filed under: uncultured bacterium
Lineage: Bacteria
Description: partial 16S ribosomal RNA
Rfam family: Bacterial small subunit ribosomal RNA
Source: RNAcentral
AACGAACGCUGGCGGCAUGCCUAACACAUGCAAGUCGAACGAGACCUUCGGGUCUAGUGGCGCACGGGUGCGUAACGCGUGGGAACCUGCCCUUAGGUUCGGAAUAACUCCCCGAAAGGGGUGCUAAUACCGGAUAAUGUCUUCGGACCAAAGAUUUAUCGCCUUUGGAUGGGCCCGCGUUGGAUUAGCUAGUUGGUAGGGUAAAAGCCUACCAAGGCGACGAUCCAUAGCUGGUCUGAGAGGAUGAUCAGCCACACUGGGACUGAGACACGGCCCAGACUCCUACGGGAGGCAGCAGGGGGGAAUAUUGGACAAUGGGCGAAAGCCUGAUCCAGCAAGGCCGCGUGAGUGAUGAAGGCCUUAGGGUUGUAAAGCUCUUUUACCCGGGAUGAUAAUGACAGUACCGGGAGAAUAAGCUCCGGCGAACUCCGU